UACGAAGGUGGCAAGCGUUGUUCGGAUUUACUGGGCGUACAGGGAGCGUAGGCGGUUGGAUAAGCCCUCCGUGAAAUCUCCAGGCUUAACCUGGAAAGUGCAGAGGGGACUGUUCAGCUAGAGGAUGGGAGAGGAGCGCGGAAUUCCCGGUGUAGCGGUGAAAUGCGUAGAGAUCGGGAGGAAGACCAGUGGCGAAGGCGGGUCUCUGGACAGUUCCUGACGCUGAGGCACGAAGGCCAGGGGAGCAAACGGG
This 253-nucleotide ribosomal RNA is filed under the name uncultured bacterium. RNAcentral's name for it is "partial 16S ribosomal RNA". It matches the Rfam family "Bacterial small subunit ribosomal RNA", at positions 524 to 776 of the family's 1533-position model. The record is from RNAcentral.